This 253-nucleotide ribosomal RNA is filed under the name uncultured bacterium. Its description in RNAcentral is "partial 16S ribosomal RNA". It matches the Rfam family "Bacterial small subunit ribosomal RNA", at positions 524 to 776 of the family's 1533-position model. The record is from RNAcentral.
UACGAAGGGGGCUAGCGUUGCUCGGAUUGACUGGGCGUAAAGGGCGCGUAGGCGGUUCGUACAGUCAGACGUGAAAUUCCUGGGCUCAACCUGGGGGCUGCGUUUGAUACGUGCGGGCUUGAGUGCGGAAGAGGGUCGUGGAAUUCCCAGUGUAGAGGUGAAAUUCGUAGAUAUUGGGAAGAACACCGGUGGCGAAGGCGGCGACCUGGUCCGAUACUGACGCUGAGGCGCGAAAGCGUGAGGAGCAAACAGG